RNAcentral lists this ribosomal RNA (377 nucleotides) under uncultured organism. RNAcentral describes it as "partial 16S ribosomal RNA". It matches the Rfam family "Bacterial small subunit ribosomal RNA", at positions 527 to 897 of the family's 1533-position model. The record is from RNAcentral.
GUAGGGUCCAAGCGUUAAUCGGGAAUUACUGGGGCGUAAAGCGUGCGCAGGCGGUUGUGCAAGACCGAUGUGAAAUCCCCCGGGGGCUUAACCUGGGGAAUUGCAUUGGUGACUGCACGGCUAGAGUGUGUCAGAGGGGGGUAGAAUUCCACGUGUAGCAGUGAAAUGCGUAGAGAUGUGGAGGAAUACCGAUGGCGAAGGCAGCCCCCUGGGAUAACACUGACGCUCAUGCACGAAAGCGUGGGGAGCAAACAGGAUUAGAUACCCUGGUAGUCCACGCCCUAAACGAUGUCAACUAGUUGUUGGGGAUUCAUUUCCUUAGUAACGUAGCUAACGCGUGAAGUUGACCGCCUGGGGAGUACGGUCGCAAAGAUUAA